CUUCUGAUUGGUGCAAGGGACAGCUCUUAAAUAGAGCCAGUACAGCAACCUUAAACAGCAGUUGCCAAGCUAAAUUGGACCCAGCAACUGCAUUACCUGAUGGCUUAUGACUUUUGUAUCAGGGUGCUUGUGCUCUGGUUAACAGCUUUUGAACACCAUGCAGAGGGAAGUGGUUUUAGUCAUUUUCAGUCAGCUGGUAGGUCUCCCAGGAGCCAGGCAACUAACUGGGAUCCAUGGCAAUACAGUCAACUUGAGUCCCUUACGGAUGGAGUUCUCCUGUAUGAGGCUGCUUUAAUGCCAAUACUGUAUGGUGGGAAGUUGUCCCAGGAAGGUGCAGUUUUUGGUCCCAGUGGGCGGUCGUACUCGAAACCUCCACUUAAAACUAUUUGCCCUAUUUGUCCCAAUUGCCCUAAACCCCUCCCUUGCCAACGACCUUGCCCUCGUCCUUGCUGUCCACGUGGCCAUCGCACUUGCCCUUGCCCGCCAUCUUGCUGUAAGCCUACUCACAAAUGUCGCAAAAGAUUUAAUUAGUAGGUAAGAUGAAAUGUAAUGGAAGUGUGUCAACUUCAUGGAUUUUUUCCCCCCUGGCUCAGUUUUUGAGCUGAAUAGACAAUGACUAAUAAAACCGUAAAUUUUGAAUUGGUCUCU
This is a long non-coding RNA of Corythoichthys intestinalis (scribbled pipefish), 648 nucleotides long. RefSeq lists it as uncharacterized. Lineage: Eukaryota; Metazoa; Chordata; Actinopteri; Syngnathiformes; Syngnathidae. The record is from RefSeq and is a predicted model, not a curated record. The transcript is spliced from 3 exons.